CAGCCGCCACGGGAACACGGAGGAUCCAAGCGUUAUCCGGAAUCAUUGGGUUUAAAGGGUCCGUAGGCGGUCUUGUAAGUCAGUGGUGAAAGCCCAUCGCUCAACGGUGGAACGGCCAUUGAUACUGCAGGACUUGAAUUAUUGGGAAGUAACUAGAAUAUGUAGUGUAGCGGUGAAAUGCUUAGAGAUUACAUGGAAUACCAAUUGCGAAGGCAGGUUACUACCAAUUGAUUGACGCUGAUGGACGAAAGCGUGGGUAGCGAACAGGAUUAGAUACCCCCGUAGUCCCUGUCUCUUAUAC
Molecule: ribosomal RNA, 301 nt
Filed under: uncultured bacterium
Lineage: Bacteria
Description: partial 16S ribosomal RNA
Rfam family: Bacterial small subunit ribosomal RNA
Source: RNAcentral